CCCGAGGUAACGGGAAACAUGGUCCACCAUGGGCAUGGUUAGUGAAUGUCAAGUUCCACUGGAAUGUGGGCAGCGCUUCGGCGUUCUUUUUGGGUCAGAGAGGGUGAAAACCCCGUUUUACAUUCAUUAGCGUGUCUGUUGUGUGGGCGUGUUGAAGAGUCGGAUUGUUUGGGAAUGCAAUCCAAAACGGGUGGUAAAUUCCAUCCAAGACUAAAUAUUAGCAAGAGACCGAUAGCGAACAAGUACCGUGAGGGAAAGAUGAAAAGCACUCUGAAGAGAGAGUGAAAUAGUACGUGAAAUUGCUGAAAGGGAAACGCUUGAGACGAUUGUUGCUCUUGGUUGAAUCAGUUUCGGCUGCUCUUUAACCUUGUUGGCAAGUCAGCAGCAUUUUCGAGUGGCAUUGACGCUUUUCAAGAAUGUAGCAAUCGUUCGCCGGUUGUGUUAUAGCUUGAAUUUCUCGCCAUGCUGCUUGAGAGUGAGGACUGCUUGGCUCUUUACUUGUGGUUUGUGUGUUUGGUUUGGCAAUCAAAGGCCUUGGCUUCACCUCCAAGACUUUGGUUGUCAAGUUAGGCACUGCAAGUUGCAAGUGGGAGUGAAAGAGGUUUGUUAAAU
RNAcentral lists this ribosomal RNA (612 nucleotides) under Catenaria anguillulae. RNAcentral's name for it is "partial large subunit ribosomal RNA". It matches the Rfam family "Eukaryotic large subunit ribosomal RNA", at positions 139 to 632 of the family's 3401-position model. Lineage: Eukaryota; Fungi; Blastocladiomycota; Blastocladiomycetes; Blastocladiales; Catenariaceae. The record is from RNAcentral.